Molecule: microRNA precursor, 102 nt
Filed under: Marmota monax (woodchuck)
Lineage: Eukaryota; Metazoa; Chordata; Mammalia; Rodentia; Sciuridae
Source: RNAcentral
AGUAGGAUAGCUGAGUCACAUGGUGUUUCAUUCCCAAUUUUCUGAGGAAUCUCCAUACUGCUUUCCAUACUGGUUAUACCAAUUUUCAAUCCCACCAGCAAU